This 2894-nucleotide ribosomal RNA is filed under the name Escherichia coli. Its description in RNAcentral is "bacterial LSU rRNA". It matches the Rfam family "Bacterial large subunit ribosomal RNA". The record is from RNAcentral. Lineage: Bacteria; Pseudomonadati; Pseudomonadota; Gammaproteobacteria; Enterobacterales; Enterobacteriaceae.
ACUAAGCGUACACGGUGGAUGCCCUGGCAGUCAGAGGCGAUGAAGGACGUGCUAAUCUGCGAUAAGCGUCGGUAAGGUGAUAUGAACCGUUAUAACCGGCGAUUUCCGAAUGGGGAAACCCAGUGUGUUUCGACACACUAUCAUUAACUGAAUCCAUAGGUUAAUGAGGCGAACCGGGGGAACUGAAACAUCUAAGUACCCCGAGGAAAAGAAAUCAACCGAGAUUCCCCCAGUAGCGGCGAGCGAACGGGGAGCAGCCCAGAGCCUGAAUCAGUGUGUGUGUUAGUGGAAGCGUCUGGAAAGGCGCGCGAUACAGGGUGACAGCCCCGUACACAAAAAUGCACAUGCUGUGAGCUCGAUGAGUAGGGCGGGACACGUGGUAUCCUGUCUGAAUAUGGGGGGACCAUCCUCCAAGGCUAAAUACUCCUGACUGACCGAUAGUGAACCAGUACCGUGAGGGAAAGGCGAAAAGAACCCCGGCGAGGGGAGUGAAAAAGAACCUGAAACCGUGUACGUACAAGCAGUGGGAGCACGCUUAGGCGUGUGACUGCGUACCUUUUGUAUAAUGGGUCAGCGACUUAUAUUCUGUAGCAAGGUUAACCGAAUAGGGGAGCCGAAGGGAAACCGAGUCUUAACUGGGCGUUAAGUUGCAGGGUAUAGACCCGAAACCCGGUGAUCUAGCCAUGGGCAGGUUGAAGGUUGGGUAACACUAACUGGAGGACCGAACCGACUAAUGUUGAAAAAUUAGCGGAUGACUUGUGGCUGGGGGUGAAAGGCCAAUCAAACCGGGAGAUAGCUGGUUCUCCCCGAAAGCUAUUUAGGUAGCGCCUCGUGAAUUCAUCUCCGGGGGUAGAGCACUGUUUCGGCAAGGGGGUCAUCCCGACUUACCAACCCGAUGCAAACUGCGAAUACCGGAGAAUGUUAUCACGGGAGACACACGGCGGGUGCUAACGUCCGUCGUGAAGAGGGAAACAACCCAGACCGCCAGCUAAGGUCCCAAAGUCAUGGUUAAGUGGGAAACGAUGUGGGAAGGCCCAGACAGCCAGGAUGUUGGCUUAGAAGCAGCCAUCAUUUAAAGAAAGCGUAAUAGCUCACUGGUCGAGUCGGCCUGCGCGGAAGAUGUAACGGGGCUAAACCAUGCACCGAAGCUGCGGCAGCGACACUAUGUGUUGUUGGGUAGGGGAGCGUUCUGUAAGCCUGUGAAGGUGUGCUGUGAGGCAUGCUGGAGGUAUCAGAAGUGCGAAUGCUGACAUAAGUAACGAUAAAGCGGGUGAAAAGCCCGCUCGCCGGAAGACCAAGGGUUCCUGUCCAACGUUAAUCGGGGCAGGGUGAGUCGACCCCUAAGGCGAGGCCGAAAGGCGUAGUCGAUGGGAAACAGGUUAAUAUUCCUGUACUUGGUGUUACUGCGAAGGGGGGACGGAGAAGGCUAUGUUGGCCGGGCGACGGUUGUCCCGGUUUAAGCGUGUAGGCUGGUUUUCCAGGCAAAUCCGGAAAAUCAAGGCUGAGGCGUGAUGACGAGGCACUACGGUGCUGAAGCAACAAAUGCCCUGCUUCCAGGAAAAGCCUCUAAGCAUCAGGUAACAUCAAAUCGUACCCCAAACCGACACAGGUGGUCAGGUAGAGAAUACCAAGGCGCUUGAGAGAACUCGGGUGAAGGAACUAGGCAAAAUGGUGCCGUAACUUCGGGAGAAGGCACGCUGAUAUGUAGGUGAAGUCCCUCGCGGAUGGAGCUGAAAUCAGUCGAAGAUACCAGCUGGCUGCAACUGUUUAUUAAAAACACAGCACUGUGCAAACACGAAAGUGGACGUAUACGGUGUGACGCCUGCCCGGUGCCGGAAGGUUAAUUGAUGGGGUUAGCCGCAAGGCGAAGCUCUUGAUCGAAGCCCCGGUAAACGGCGGCCGUAACUAUAACGGUCCUAAGGUAGCGAAAUUCCUUGUCGGGUAAGUUCCGACCUGCACGAAUGGCGUAAUGAUGGCCAGGCUGUCUCCACCCGAGACUCAGUGAAAUUGAACUCGCUGUGAAGAUGCAGUGUACCCGCGGCAAGACGGAAAGACCCCGUGAACCUUUACUAUAGCUUGACACUGAACAUUGAGCCUUGAUGUGUAGGAUAGGUGGGAGGCUUUGAAGUGUGGACGCCAGUCUGCAUGGAGCCGACCUUGAAAUACCACCCUUUAAUGUUUGAUGUUCUAACGUUGACCCGUAAUCCGGGUUGCGGACAGUGUCUGGUGGGUAGUUUGACUGGGGCGGUCUCCUCCUAAAGAGUAACGGAGGAGCACGAAGGUUGGCUAAUCCUGGUCGGACAUCAGGAGGUUAGUGCAAUGGCAUAAGCCAGCUUGACUGCGAGCGUGACGGCGCGAGCAGGUGCGAAAGCAGGUCAUAGUGAUCCGGUGGUUCUGAAUGGAAGGGCCAUCGCUCAACGGAUAAAAGGUACUCCGGGGAUAACAGGCUGAUACCGCCCAAGAGUUCAUAUCGACGGCGGUGUUUGGCACCUCGAUGUCGGCUCAUCACAUCCUGGGGCUGAAGUAGGUCCCAAGGGUAUGGCUGUUCGCCAUUUAAAGUGGUACGCGAGCUGGGUUUAGAACGUCGUGAGACAGUUCGGUCCCUAUCUGCCGUGGGCGCUGGAGAACUGAGGGGGGCUGCUCCUAGUACGAGAGGACCGGAGUGGACGCAUCACUGGUGUUCGGGUUGUCAUGCCAAUGGCACUGCCCGGUAGCUAAAUGCGGAAGAGAUAAGUGCUGAAAGCAUCUAAGCACGAAACUUGCCCCGAGAUGAGUUCUCCCUGACUCCUUGAGAGUCCUGAAGGAACGUUGAAGACGACGACGUUGAUAGGCCGGGUGUGUAAGCGCAGCGAUGCGUUGAGCUAACCGGUACUAAUGAACCGUGAGGCUUAACC